GACGUAGGGGGCCAGCGUUGUUCGGAAUUACUGGGUGUAAAGGGUUCGUAGGCGGUGUGGCAAGUCGGGAGUGAAAUUUCUGGGCUUAACUCAGAAGCUGCUUCCGAAACUGCUGUGCUAGAGUGCGGGAGAGGCGCGUGGAAUUGCAGGUGUAGCGGUGAAAUGCGUAGAUAUCUGCAGGAACACCCGUGGCGAAAGCGGCGCGCUGGACCGUUACUGACGCUGAGGAACGAAAGCUAGGGGAGCAAACAGG
RNAcentral lists this ribosomal RNA (253 nucleotides) under uncultured bacterium. RNAcentral describes it as "partial 16S ribosomal RNA". It matches the Rfam family "Bacterial small subunit ribosomal RNA", at positions 524 to 776 of the family's 1533-position model. The record is from RNAcentral.